This 406-nucleotide ribosomal RNA is filed under the name uncultured bacterium. RNAcentral describes it as "partial 16S ribosomal RNA". It matches the Rfam family "Bacterial small subunit ribosomal RNA", at positions 28 to 526 of the family's 1533-position model. The record is from RNAcentral.
GAUGAACGCUAGCUACAGGCUUAACACAUGCAAGUCGAGGGACCGGCGCACGGGUGAGUCACACGUAUCCAACCUGCCCUUUACUCGGGGAUAGCCUUUCGACAGAAAGAUUAAUCCCCGCUGUAAAGGAUGGGUAUGCGUUACAUUAGUUUGUUGGUGAGGUAACGGCUUACCAAGCCUUCGAUGGAUAGGGGUUCUGAGAGGAAGGUCCCCCACAGUGGAACUGCGUCACGGUCCAAACUCCGACGGGAAGCAGCAGUGAGAAAUAUUGGGCAAUGGGCGUUAGCCUGAAACAGCCAAGUAGCGUGAAGGAUGAAGGCUUAUGGGUCGUAAACUUCUUUUAUAUAAGAAUAUGUAUUAUAUGAAUAAGGAUCGGCUAACUCCGUGCCAGCAGCCGCGGUAAUUC